This 253-nucleotide ribosomal RNA is filed under the name uncultured bacterium. RNAcentral describes it as "partial 16S ribosomal RNA". It matches the Rfam family "Bacterial small subunit ribosomal RNA", at positions 524 to 776 of the family's 1533-position model. The record is from RNAcentral.
UACGUAGGGUGCAAGCGUUGUCCGGAAUUAUUGGGCGUAAAGAGCUCGUAGGCGGUCUGUCGCGUCGGCUGUGAAAUCCCGAGGCUCAACCUCGGGUCUGCAGUCGAUACGGGCAAACUGGAGUGUUGCAGGGGAGACUGGAAUUCCUGGUGUAGCGGUGAAAUGCGCAGAUAUCUGGAGGAACACCGGUGGCGAAGGCGGGUCUCUGGGCAACAACUGACGCUGAGGAGCGAAAGCGUGGGGAGCGAACAGG